CCUAGAGCUAAUACAUGCUAAAAACCUCGACUUCGGAAGGGGUGUAUUUAUUAGAUAAAAAACCAGCGCCCUCCGGGGCCUCUUGGUGAAUCAUAAUAACUUAACGAAUCGCAUGGCCUUGCGCCGGCGAUGGUUCAUUCAAAUUUCUGCCCUAUCAACUUUCGAUGGUAGGAUAGUGGCCUACCAUGGUUUCAACGGGUAACGGGGAAUUAGGUAUGUUACCGCCGGAAUCGAUGGAUCUCGAGGGCGAGGGCUAACGUUCGUGAAGGGUUCGACUCCGGAGAAGGAGCCUGAGAAACGGCUACUACAUCCAAGGAAGGCAGCAGGCGCGCAAAUUACCCAAUCCCGACACGGGGAGGUAGUGACAAUAAAUACUGAUACAGGGCUCUUUUGGGUCUUGUAAUUGGAAUGAGUACAAUUUAAAUCCCUUAACGAGGAACAAUUGGAGGGCAAGUCUGGUGCCAGCAGCCGCGGUAAUUCCAGCUCCAAUAGCGUAUAUUAAAGUUGUUGCAGUUAAAAAGCUCGUAGUUGAACCUUGGGUCUGGCUGGUCGGUCCGCCUCACCGCGUGUACUGGUCCGGCCGGACCUUUCCUUCUGGGGAGCCGCAUGGCCUUCACUGGCCGUGUCGGGGAACCAGGACUUUUACUUUGAAAAAAUUAGAGUGUUCAAAGCAGGCCUUUGCUCGGAUACAUUAGCAUGGAAUAAUAGAAUAGGACGUG
This 719-nucleotide ribosomal RNA is filed under the name Cystocoleus ebeneus. Its description in RNAcentral is "bacterial SSU rRNA". It matches the Rfam family "Eukaryotic small subunit ribosomal RNA", at positions 157 to 831 of the family's 1831-position model. Lineage: Eukaryota; Fungi; Ascomycota; Dothideomycetes; Mycosphaerellales; Cystocoleaceae. The record is from RNAcentral.